Molecule: RNA transcript, 1760 nt
Organism: Carya illinoinensis
Lineage: Eukaryota; Viridiplantae; Streptophyta; Magnoliopsida; Fagales; Juglandaceae
Gene name: putative nuclease HARBI1
Exons: 5
Source: RefSeq, a predicted model, not a curated record
UGCUUUUUGCGUUGAAAAAUGAGAGAAUCACAGACCCAGACGCUGCUUUCUACACACAGCGGACGUUACAGCUACCUCUAAUACGCCAUUCAUUGCGUUCUCUCUCUGAUCGUAGAAACCCUUUUUGCAUUGAACUCCUCUCCGUCCUCUUCCGCCCUCUGCCUCGGUUUCUCAGAAGGAAUCAGCUAAACGUCUUCUUCGUCGAUUCCGAGCACCAAAGCGGCAUUGAAUACUGUUGGGGACUCUUUCAGAGGCUAGUUUUGCCAUGGAGAGCUCUGAUGAUGAAAAAGAUGGAGUCCUUGGGAAUUACAUUCCAAAAGAACUGGCCCAUGGUUUGGCAUCUAGCGGAGCAAAAUUUGUGGAUGAAGUACUUAAUAGCCAAAGUGAACACUGCUUGGAAAAUUUUCGCAUGGAUAAGCAUGUAUUUUACAAGUUGUGUGAUAUUUUGCAAGCCAAAGGCUUGCUACGUCACACAAAUCGAAUCAAGAUUGAGGAACAAUUAGCCAUUUUCAUGUUCAUAAUCGGCCACAAUCUACGUACAAGAGCUGUGCAAGAGUUAUUCCGAUAUUCAGGGGAAACCAUCAGUCGCCAUUUCAAUAAUGUUUUGAAUGCAAUUAUGGCAAUUUCCUUAGACUUCUUUCAGCCUCCGGGUUCAGAGAUCUUGGAAGAUCCAAGAUUCUAUCCAUACUUUCAGGAUUGUGUGGGAGCAGUUGAUGGUAUCCAUAUUCCAGUUAUGGUAGGUGUAGAUGAGCAAGGACCUUUCCGCAAUAAGAAUGGCAUGCUUUCACAAAAUGUACUGGCAGCUUGCUCAUUUGAUCUCAAGUUCCAUUAUGUUCUAGCCGGGUGGGAAGGCUCAGCAUCAGAUUUACAAGUCCUAAAUUCUGCACUGACAAGGCGAAACAAACUGCUGGUCCCUGAAGGUAAAUACUACCUUGUAGACAACAAGUAUGCAAAUAUGCCAGGUUUCAUUGCCCCAUAUCCGGGUGUUCCAUAUUGCUUAAAGGAAUAUCCGAGUGGCUAUCAUCCACAAGAUGCCAGAGAGCUAUUUAAUCAACGACACUCAUUGUUACGAAAUGCCACUGAUCGGAUCUUUGGCGCUCUGAAGGCACGAUUCCCUAUAUUGAUGUCUGCACCUCCAUACCCAUUACAAACACAGGUCAAGUUGGUUGUGGCAACAUGUGCGAUACACAAUUACAUCAGGAGGGAGAAACCAGAUGAUUGGAUUUUUAGGAAGUAUGAACAGGACAGUAUGGCAUUACAAAUCGAGUCGUCAUUACCCCCCUUAGAGGUGGAACAACCCAUUAUGCACAUUGAUACCCAAGCCCUGGACAUUGGCGUUGAGGCGGAACAACUAGAAAUCACUUCACAAUUGCGCGACUCCAUUGCAACUGAAAUUUGGAAUGACUACAUCCAUGAUUUUUCAGCCAUGUAAAUCAUCUUUGGUAACAGUUUCAGGUUAGGAUUGAAAUUAUUUCAGGAUCGAGAACCAUAUGAAGAUUUUGGUUGUGAUUCCAUGCUGUACAUUGGCCCUUCUGUUCAUAGAAAGGAAAGAUAUCGGUGGCGACUGAACGGGAAGUUGAUCACAGAUUAUCCGUGCAUUACUUCUGAGAGCACAACCAAUCUGUUGAUAUUGAUUCUAAAAGUUUGAUCUUAAUUUUCUGAGGAUCAUUAACCAUCGGUGAUCCGUGUGAUGUGGGCACGUUAGACGGUUCUUGAAUUUAAUCAAGGGAAAGACAUGUUGCGAUUGCACGACUUCAGAA